GACGAACGCUGGCGGCGUGCUUAGCACAUGCAAGUCGAACGGAAAGGCCCUGCUUUUGUGGGGUGCUCGAGUGGCGAACGGGUGAGUAACACGUGAGUAACCUGCCCUUGACUUUGGGAUAACUUCAGGAAACUGGGGCUAAUACCGGAUAGGAGCUCCUGCUGCAUGGUGGGGGUUGGAAAGUUUCGGCGGUUGGGGAUGGACUCGCGGCUUAUCAGCUUGUUGGUGGGGUAGUGGCUUACCAAGGCUUUGACGGGUAGCCGGCCUGAGAGGGUGACCGGCCCCCUUGGGACUGAGAUACGGCCCAGACUCCUACGGGAGGCAGCAGUGGGGAAUAUUGCACCAUGGGCGGAAGCCUGAUGCCGCAACGCCGCGUGCGGGAUGACGGCCUUCGGGUUGUAAACCGCUUUCGCCUGUGACGAAGCGUGAGUGACGGUAAUGGGUAAAGAAGCACCGGCUAACUACGUG
RNAcentral lists this ribosomal RNA (468 nucleotides) under uncultured bacterium. RNAcentral's name for it is "partial 16S ribosomal RNA". It matches the Rfam family "Bacterial small subunit ribosomal RNA", at positions 28 to 507 of the family's 1533-position model. The record is from RNAcentral.